Molecule: ribosomal RNA, 439 nt
Filed under: uncultured bacterium
Lineage: Bacteria
Description: partial 16S ribosomal RNA
Rfam family: Bacterial small subunit ribosomal RNA
Source: RNAcentral
CUACGGGACGCUCCAGUGAGGAAUAUUGCACAAUGGGGGGAACCCUGAUGCAGCAACGCCGCGUGGAGGAUGACGCAUUUCGGUGUGUAAACUCCUUUUAUAUGUCAAGAAAAUGACGGUAGCAUAUGAAUAAGCGCCGGCUAACUCCGUGCCAGCAGCCGCGGUAAUACGGAGGGCGCAAGCGUUACUCGGAAUCACUGGGCGUAAAGGACGCGUAGGCGGGAUUGUAAGUCAGGUGUGAAAGCCUAUGGCUCAACCAUAGAAUUGCACUUGAAACUACAAACCUAGAGUAUGGGAGGGGCGGAUGGAAUUAGUGGUGUAGGGGUAAAAUCCGUAGAUAUCACUAGGAAUACCGAAAGCGAAGGCGAUCUCCUGGAACAUUACUGACGCUAAGGCGUGAAAGCGUGGGGAGCAAACGGGAUUAGAUACCCCUGUAGUC